UGACCUGUUUUUGGUGUCUCAAUUCGACACAAACGUGAGCGACGUCUGGGUGUCGCUCUGGGAACCUCGCUGUGAGCUGGAGCGACUUCAUGGCCUCGCUCUGAGAGCGAUUUUUCUUGAUCCGACGCCAAAAUUGCGAGUGACCUCGCUGCGUCGCUCCCAGCUGGAGCGACUUCAUGUGCUCGCUCCAGGACCUCGCUCCCACGCAUGAUUUUUGGUCAAACCUGAGUCGAUCAACUGAGCACCUGCACACAACUUCUCUUUUUUUUUUUUUAUGCAAUAAGAUGAAAAUGAAAAUACCAAUGCAAUAUAUACAAGGAUACGCAUGGGACUUCCUCCCAAGUGAGCUUGUUUUAAGUCUCUAACUUGACUUUGCCUCCUUUUGGAU
This 388-nucleotide long non-coding RNA is filed under the name Brassica rapa (field mustard). RNAcentral's name for it is "long non-coding RNA (BRAP_LNC002474)". The record is from RNAcentral. Lineage: Eukaryota; Viridiplantae; Streptophyta; Magnoliopsida; Brassicales; Brassicaceae.